GUGAGAAAGAGCAGUGGGAAUACUGAAGUCAAAAGAGGGGCUCCUUGGUGGAGUAGAUAACCUCACCGCUACCACUGUAUGACCCCAUGCUGGAAUAUGUUAAUCCUGAAGGAAUGACUGAAACCCACAGGGCUGACCCACACUGGAGCAGGGAAAAGUGUAAAGAGGAAGCAGUGCUAGAGAAGACCUCUUGUAGACUGAACCCUCCUCCUGUACUGCUUGGGUGGGAAGAGGUUGAGGAGUCGUGGUUGGAGAACUGAAGCUGAGCCUGGGAAAGGAGAGGAGGAAAGGUGUUGCUUUAAUAUUUACCUUCUUCAUUCCCUGAGGGAUCGAGCAGCUGGGCACUGGAGUGCAGAGCCAGCACAGUGGCCACCUUCUGAAGGCAGACAGUUCCUUGCAGUAUGCUGUAAGAAGGUGUUUAAGAAGAAUUACCAAAGGUCAAGCCCUCAGAAUUGUUUGAACUGUAAGAUCUGCAAGCAUGGAAACAAACGUAUGAAAAACAAAACAAAACAAACAAACAAACAAAAACCUGGCUGUUCAGGGGUGAUGUCUGAGCUUUGCACAAUUUUGCUAUGGCUGAGUGAGAUUUAAGAAGCCUGAACCUGUGUUCGUGAAAGUGAUCCAUGACCCAGUAAAACUGCAAAGCUGUUGCGCAAAAGCCUAAAAUGCAAAUUGCAGUCUAUUAUGAUUUGCUCAGUAUCAGGAGUUAUCUAUUAAUUUACAUAAUGCAAGGGAGUCUCUUCUCUAUGCAGUCAUUCCACAGACAGCUCUUUCAGUGUGUGGCCUCCAAAGAAUAUUGUGUAAGAUAUAGGAGGUCAGAGCAAUAUUCCUAACUUCUUUGUAAAAACUAGAGCAGCAUCUUAUUCUACCUGAAACUCUAAUCAGUCUCAUUCACUCGACAAAAAUAUUCAUGAAUAUCAUUACAUUUAUUCUGUUUGACAUAACAAACAGUUGUACAGGAGGCCACAGAUGUUGGCUGUGGCAGGGAGUGAAUAGAGGAGAUACCCUGAAAUGAAUAUGUUCCCUUGCAAAGGUGAUUUCCUUUGGGCAAAAAUUCUGGUCUGACACGACAGACAACAUAGAUUGGAAAUAAAUAAAUAAAUAAAUAAAUAAAUAAAUAAAUA
This 1124-nucleotide long non-coding RNA is filed under the name Phasianus colchicus (ring-necked pheasant). RNAcentral's name for it is "lncRNA (ENSPCLG00000021141.1)". Lineage: Eukaryota; Metazoa; Chordata; Aves; Galliformes; Phasianidae. The record is from RNAcentral.